CCUCAGCUCUAGAAAAGUUGCCUCCUCAGUUGCUCCAGAAAUGUUGCCUCCUCAGUUGCGCCACCUAUAUUUCCUUUAAAAAAGAAAAACUUUUCCCCUUCUCUGUACCGUUGGUUCCCCCUAAAGUCUUUCCAUCUUCCUCUUCCAUACUCUUCGUCUCCCAAACAAACCCCCAGUAUGCUUCGAUCUAGCUGCAAAUUCCUCCAUGGAUGUUCUCUUCGAAGGGUCCUCAAGCUGUUCCUCUCUAUCAUUGAAGAAUUUGCUGACCUCUCAGUUGUUGCCAUUGAAGAACUUCGACAGCUCCAAUCGGUGGUUGGUAUAGGCCCUCCCUUUCUCGGAGCUCCUAUCAUUUACUCGCAGAGAUCCUUUAGUUGCCAUUAAAGACUGCACAGAUCUUAUGUAUUGCUCCAUCUCUGUCCGACAAAUCAGAUUGUUGUUGCCAUUAAAUAUAUUGCACAAAGCUACAGGUUCUCGUGUUACCAUUGAAGGCUUCGCACAGGGUCAGUUAUUCGAGCAUGAAAAGAGCAAUGCCUUGGAGUGACAAGGAAGAUGACUCUUCAAAGAGUCGUCCUCCCACUCGGGUUCUGAAUCUGACGAUGUGGAUGGAAAGACGAAGGCAAAAGACAACUCAAAGGUUGGAAAACUUUGAAAAGCAAAAUAAUGUGAAGUUAGAUUGAAGAGACGAUUAAAACUAAUUUCACAAAGGGAUAAUGAAAGCACACAGUCCAUUAAGCUGCAGAAGAUGAUUGAACAACUUGAAAAUGAAUACCAAUGUCCCGGUAGGGUUGCCCAAUACUGCCAAGCGAGGAUUCUAAGGAAGAAAUACUAAGUUUGAAGAGGAGUUCUUCAUUCUUCCGCCAUUCAGGGGUGGCCUCAGCUUCUACCCCUCCUUCUUCCAUAUCUUCGACUUCCUCGGUUCCUUCUGUUUUGGUAAAAAAAUUUAGAGAUGAAUUCACCCUCAGUUCAACGACAAGCACAAAAGUUUAAAUCAAUCUACAAAUCCUAGAGGCAGUUGACUUACUCCACAGAAAAACAUCUUUACUGUCCGAGCAACAAUGGAUAGAAUAGACGACAAUUGCACAUGGUGCUAUAUCGCAUGUGAAGUUUGUAUGAAGAAGCUUGCAAAAGAUGGUGACCAUUACAAUUGCAAUGCAUGCAGAAUGAAUUCAAAGUUACCCACUGCAAGUUUCGGAGUUAUUAACCAUUCAAAAUGGUGAUUGUCAAAAGAUACCUCAACUGCUUCGAAAUCUGUUGCGGCAUGACUCUCAUUUUCAAAAUCGAGUCGAAUGACAACAAUCUCAAGGAAGGCUGGUAGAACUACACCAUCACGAAGACCUUCAUCCUGAAUGCGUUUCUAGAAGAACAACAUCAAGAAAAGAUGCAUCAACAGAACUCUUUCCGAGAUGAAUCCCAAUCAAAAGAUGAAGAUCAAAGAUCACUUCACCAGGAGGACGAAGAGGCACCCAAACGAGGUUCCUCGGACUCACAACUCCACAACAAAAAAGGGGGAAAGGUUAGAGAUUGAUCAGGAACCAGAGAAUGCUAGCCCAAAAACAUCAAAUCAGAUCAUGUCCACGCCUGGCGAGGAACUCAACAUGCCAAAAGAUUAAAAGAAGACCUCAUUCAAGUAGAAACUUAAGCACCAUUGAUAGAUAGAUAGAGAUAUUUAUAUAUCCAAAUAUCAAAAAGUAAUUUCAGAACGAUUGUCAUUACAAUUAACCGUUAUAAUAAAUUUG
This is a non-coding RNA of Punica granatum (pomegranate), 1736 nucleotides long. Lineage: Eukaryota; Viridiplantae; Streptophyta; Magnoliopsida; Myrtales; Lythraceae. The record is from RefSeq and is a predicted model, not a curated record.